ACAAUGCCUCCAAUAGAGCCAUCAUCUUCGUUUGAAUCGCCGAGGAAGUAGCGAUUUUUUUGACGAAUCCAUCCAGCAAAGCUCCAGAUUCAUCAUGGAGGACACUGGCGAUUACUCCCUCCGUGCUGCCGUCGACGAAAGUUCCAUCGAAAUUGAUCUUGAAGGACUGGCUGUUCGGUGGAUGCCAAUUCGGAGGUAAAGUUGCCUUAUCAGUGUCAAGUUUCAAACUUUUAGGGUUCCAUUUGCUGUAAUUUCUGACCAUAGCUUGCGUUAAAGCAAUUAGCGAUUGUGGGUCUGGGGAUUUACGCCGAAACACUAAAUCGUUCCUUGCUUUCCAUAUAAACUAGAGAAGAACUGCGAUUCUUUCAAAGGGUUUUUCCAAAUCUCGUACGUCCAAGGGCACAACAAGAGGAGGUGUUCCACAGUUUCUGCUUCUCGAUUGCAAAAGGGGCAAGCUGGCUGAGGAACAUACCUCGAAGAACUCCAAUCACCUCAGACCACUACAGGGCAUAACCGAGAAGAAGGAAGCCUGGGAGCAUGUAUCUUGCUUGCUGACUUUCACCCAUUUCCUUUUCUGUAUAGGCUGAAGCUUUGGAGAGGCAAAGGCGAGAAUAGAUGGUAAGAGAAGUAUCAAUGAGGGGGAGAUGCUUCGUUGGGGUACCGUAUGGUGAGAUGAUGUGGGUAAGGGUGUAUGGUGAGAUGAUGUGGGUAUGGGUGAAUCGUAAAAAGUAGUGAUGGAAGACAUGGAUUUAGGGUUUUUUAGGGUAAGCUCUCACCAUGGAUAGGGCAAGCUCUUACUAGAAGAGAGAGAAAGCUCUUACAAGAAGAGAGAAAGCUCCUACAGGAAGAGAGAAAGCUCUCGAGACAUAUUUUAACAGGCGUAAUGUAUACCAAAAUGCCUCUGCAUUGUCAGAUUUGGUGGGACGGAUAACGCAGUUAUCU
Molecule: long non-coding RNA, 942 nt
Organism: Syzygium oleosum
Lineage: Eukaryota; Viridiplantae; Streptophyta; Magnoliopsida; Myrtales; Myrtaceae
Exons: 3
Source: RefSeq, a predicted model, not a curated record